Molecule: long non-coding RNA, 236 nt
Organism: Oncorhynchus gorbuscha (pink salmon)
Lineage: Eukaryota; Metazoa; Chordata; Actinopteri; Salmoniformes; Salmonidae
Exons: 3
Source: RefSeq, a predicted model, not a curated record
GCAGGGGUCCAUUGUGAUAAUGUUGGAGGACACCGGCACUGCAGAGUGCCAGAAAAGACAGAAACCGAAUAAGCAAUGGGGCAGCGAGAAGAUUUAAUCAGAUGGAAGCCAUGAUCCUGUGGCAGAAAAUGGCGGAGCACCUGGGCCCACCUACCUACCAUCUCCUAAAGCCUACUCUUGUCCCUAUACCUAUGAAGGAGCUCUCUCGUUCCCUUUCUUUCUCUAUAUACUCACAC